Astatotilapia calliptera (eastern happy) is the source of this 3941-nucleotide long non-coding RNA. The record is from Ensembl. Lineage: Eukaryota; Metazoa; Chordata; Actinopteri; Cichliformes; Cichlidae.
AUUGUUUCAUUAAUGUGUGAUGUGUUUGUUUUGAUUCUGUAGAUGGAGAUAUGUCAUUUUGUCCAGGAAAAAUUAACUGAAUGGCAUCUCAGUGAGCUGAUUCACAGAUUUGAAGGUAUUUUAUUAUAGUUUGGUUUGGUCCUUCAUAAAUUACUGCUGUACUGUAAUGCCAUAUUGAUAUUUGUUUGUCUAAUUUCAAUUGGAAUACUUCGUUUUGUUGCAGAGGAGGGUAUUGACAAAGAAGCUUUCCUAAGUCUCGAGUCAGGCAGAAUCAAUACUUUGAUUCCAAAAAUUGGACCAAGAGUAAAGUUUAAAAGGAGACUCAGAGAAUACUUACAGGACUUGAAUAGAACACAUGAUGAUUCUGCUGACAUGAUGGAAACAAGCGCAGAGCAAGAGGACAGUCCAGAAAUGGAGCCAAACAUUUUUCCUCAACAUUUGGAAUCUUCUUCAGCGUCUGACACAACAGAUGGCAAAGACAGGAUGCAGGACCACAACAUUUAUCCAUUUCAGUUGGAGUCUGCUUCAGCAGUUGACAGAGGCAGUGACACAAGUAAUGAACCAAUUUGCUCCUGGGCAACAGUGACACAAGGACAAAGUCCAACCACAUUUACAAUGUUUUACUGUCAAGAGUGUAAAAACUUCAUGGGAAACGAUCCUGAUUCUUGUUGUUCUCACUGUGCCUCUGUGUUCAACAAAGCAAGCAGCAUUCAAAAUGGAAACUUCUUUCUGUACUCAUCCCUGAAAGACCUUCUGAAAGGUAUCCUUGAGAACCACAGCGCUGAGUUGUUACCUAAAACAGUUAAAGAUGAGCAUGAUAACAUCAAAGAUGUGAUGGAUGGGAUGAUGUACCAGAAUCUCCUCAGAGAGGGUAAACUAGCUGCAGAUGAUCUCACACUGACAUGGAAUUUUGAUGAAGUACCAAUUUUUAGCACCACCAGAUACUCAAUUUGGCCCCUUCAGUUUGUUAUUAAUGAACUUCCUUACACACAAAGACAGGAAAAUAUGAUAGUUGCUGGAUUUUGGUUUGGCCAAGGAAAACCUCAUAUGAACACAUUUCUGAAACCAUUUGUGGAUGAAUGUUGUGAUUUAGCCCAAAAUCCAUUUCAGUGGAGAGACAGCAGAGGCACUCUUCAUUCAUCAAAAGUCUUCUGCUUGGUUUGCUCCUCUGACGCUGUGGCGAGGCCACUUCUCCGGAAUUGCAAACAAUUCAAUGGAGAAUAUGGUUGUGACUGGUGUUUACACCCUGGCACAGUGGUACCAAAAGGCUCUGGCUCUAUGAGGUCAUACCGAUAUGAUGAAACUAAACAAGCAUCAAGAUCAAAAAAUAUGUUUGUUGAAAACACCUCAGAGUAUGGUGUAAAAGGAAUGUCCUUACUUUCCAGACUUCCUUUGUUUGACAUUGUGUUUGGAUUUGUACCAGAAUAUAUGCACUCAGUUUUAGUUGGUGUGACUAAGCAACUUAUUGGAUUGUGGCUGAACUCAGAGAACUCCAAGAAAGACUGGUAUGUAGGUCAACAGAUUUCACAGAUGGACUCUUAUCUCUUAAAGCCUCCAUCAGAAAUGAGCAGAUCUCUACAGUCACUGAAGGGUCGGGACUCUUGGAAAGCAUCUGACUGGCGAGCUUUCCUUUUAUUUUAUGCUGUUAGUGUCCUACCAGGCAUCCUUCAGCCUUCAUUUCUCCAGCAUUUUUUUUGUUUGUCGAUCAGCAUUCACAUUCUGCUACAAGAAUCAGUCUCCCAAAAUGACCUUCAGCUGGCCCAUGAGAACUUGGUACUCUUUGUUAGAAACAUGGAAGAACUCUAUGGUGAAGAAAACGUUUCAUUCAACUGCCAUCAGUUGAUCCACUUAGCUGACUGUGUGCGUAACUGGGGGCCUCUCUGGGCAACAUCAGCAUUCAGUUUUGAGAGGAACAGUGCAAAUUUAAGGGCACUGCUUAGCAACAUAAACUACAAUCCUCAAAAAAUUCAAGACAAGUUUCUCCGUUGGCAGCGCCUGCCGAGUCACCUUCGCUCCCUUGUUUCUAACGGAAAUUCUCCGUUAGCCAGAAUUUCACCAGUAAAUGAAACCACUGAUUGUUACGAUCUGCUUGGAAAUUCACGGCAUCUGGAUAUCACAGGAUCCAUAAAACUAGCAAUAGAAGAGCUCUUAAAUCGACCUGUUUCAUUCAGAUCAGUGGAAGCCUUUGACAGCUUCAUCAACAGAAAUACUGUUUACUCUGUAAACCAUGAAGAGACAAGAGACUGUGUCAUAAAACUCAAGAAUGGCUGCUAUGGAGAAAUACAGUUCAUCGUCAGGUUUAAAGAGAACUGUGUUUGCACAUCCAACUGUGUGUGCUCGGCUAUUUCAGUCAUUGUGGUCCAGCUGUUUUAUAUCAAACGUGAUGCAGAGGACAGCAGGAUGAUUCCUGACAGUGCAUCAAGGACUAUCUUUGUGGAAGUGGAAAGGACAACUCAGCUCAAAGCCUUCUUCUUGAGGGAUGUUAGGUGUAAAUGCAUGUAUGUGAAUGGUUGGCUGGUGCCUUUACCAAACUCAUAUGAAAGAUAUUAAAGUUCCAGCACAGCUAAGGUGCUUUCUCUGUCUUGUAUAUCAUGGCACAUGGCUGUUUUUACUACAGUGAAAAUCUUGGAAAAAUGAAUGAUGAUGAAGUUUUUUCAAAGGAGUUUGGAGUCAUUUUGUUCAUAUGUGUGCGAGAUCUGUGGCUUACGUUUUCUUUUGGUGUGACAGUGUGGACAUAAUGUAGCCAGUGUAAUGUAGGAUUAUAUCACUCAGUACUGUAUGUGUAUUAUCUGUAUAUGGAGGAAAUUAUGGAGUGAUUGGUAAACAGCCAAAAGCUUGCCUUUCCCAACUUUGUAUUCACUACGUAUUUAUCAUACAUGUCAGUUUACCUCUAUUCAAAAUGAAAUGCAAAUUAUUGUGACACAUAAACAUUUUGUGAAUUAACGCUAAAAAUCCGGGGUGAGUGGAUCAAUGUGGUUUACUGCAUCCUGAUACAGAUUGCUAUUACUGAGAUAACAGAUCAUAAAGCUUCAUAUUACCUCAGAUUAUUGUGUAAUGGCUGAUGAGACUUAUUCUGUUUAAUGUUGCAAUGUGUGCAAGUCUAUUGAAUGUAAUACAGAUUGAUUUGCUCAAGAAUGUUUGUAUCCUGCUACAUAAAAAUGAUUAUAAUUAGUCUUAUUACUUUAAAUAUGCCUGAAAAAUCUGUUUGGCCUCCUUCUUCACUCUGGAUUUGUGCUGCUAUUCAGAGUCAAUUCAAAUUUUAGUGUCGUUCCUUAAAAAAAAAAGAAAAAAGGAUGUGUAAAUACAGUAAAUGAUGUUUAGAGAUUUUUGAAAAAUAAACAUGACCACUGUUCAUAUGUGGCUUUAUUACCUUAUCAUAGGCCAGAAUUAAAUAUCUAAGUAGGACCCUUGUGUUACGAUUCGGUGUUGUCAGUGUUUUGUUUUAGGCGUGACUGUUAUGUGUUUCCUGCUUUACUUUGAAAGUCUGUCUUAUCUCAGUGUGUUCAAUUUACGCUUCCUUGUCUCGUCAGUUCUGAUUUGCCCCAGCUGUGUUUCCCUCCUGUUGUCCAUUCCCUGAUUGCUCCUUCUAUGUAUUUAAGCCCUGUGUUUCAGUUUGUCAUGGUCGCGAUCUUCCCCCCCCCCGGUUGUAAAUAGUUUGGUGUUUUGAUGUAAAUAAAUGUCCUAUUUUGCUUUGAUGUAAAUAGCUGUCGAUACUUUCGUUUUGGGAUUUUGGUGGAGAACCGUAGUAGUAUUUUUUUUUUUUCCUUUUUUUUUUCUGUGUUGCACGCCGGUUGCCUAGGCUGGGGUGGAACACUUGUUUAAUACCAUGUUAAACAUGUUUACCGGGUCGUGAAGCAAACAACAGAAAAGAAGCUCGUAUAUAGACUUAUGCCGUAAGUUGACCUAAAACUAAAAAGAAAAAACAAUCUGACAUUUUAAAU